GGGGAUGUAGCUCAGUGGUAGAGCGCGUGCUUCGCAUGUACGAGGCCCCGGGUUCAAUCCCCGGCAUCUCCA
RNAcentral lists this transfer RNA (72 nucleotides) under Podarcis muralis (Common wall lizard). It matches the Rfam family "tRNA". Rfam says of the family: Transfer RNA (tRNA) molecules are approximately 80 nucleotides in length. RNAcentral also lists the same sequence under 4 other names. Lineage: Eukaryota; Metazoa; Chordata; Lepidosauria; Squamata; Lacertidae. The record is from Rfam by way of RNAcentral.